GGGCGAGUGGUGAAAUUGGUAUACACGGUAGACUCAAAAUCUGCUGGCAGCAAUGUCGUGAGGGUUCAAGUCCCUCCUCGCCCACCA
This 87-nucleotide transfer RNA is filed under the name Candidatus Nomurabacteria bacterium. RNAcentral describes it as "tRNA-Leu". It matches the Rfam family "tRNA". Rfam says of the family: Transfer RNA (tRNA) molecules are approximately 80 nucleotides in length. The record is from RNAcentral. Lineage: Bacteria; Candidatus Nomuraibacteriota.